RNAcentral lists this ribosomal RNA (271 nucleotides) under uncultured Ascomycota. RNAcentral describes it as "partial 18S ribosomal RNA". It matches the Rfam family "Eukaryotic small subunit ribosomal RNA", at positions 548 to 827 of the family's 1831-position model. The record is from RNAcentral. Lineage: Eukaryota; Fungi; Ascomycota.
UUGGAGGGCAAGUCUGGUGCCAGCAGCCGCGGUAAUUCCAGCUCCAAUAGCGUAUAUUAAAGUUGUUGUGGUUAAAAAGCUCGUAGUUGAACCUUGGGCCUGGCUGGCCGGUCCGCCUCACCGCGUGCACUGGUCCGGCCGGGCCUUUCCCUCUGCGGAACCCCAUGCCCUUCACUGGGUGUGGCGGGGAAACAGGACUUUUACUUGAAAAAAUUAGAGUGCUCAAGGCAGGCUAUGCUCGAAUACAUUAGCAUGGAAUAAUAGAAUAGGA